RNAcentral lists this microRNA (20 nucleotides) under Drosophila virilis. RNAcentral's name for it is "dvi-miR-9544c-3p". The record is from miRBase by way of RNAcentral. Lineage: Eukaryota; Metazoa; Arthropoda; Insecta; Diptera; Drosophilidae.
UAAAAGCACCGCCGCGCACA